UACGUAGGGCGCAAGCGUUAUCCGGAAUUAUUGGGCGUAAAGAGCUCGUAGGCGGUUUGUCGCGUCUGCCGUGAAAGUCCGGGGCUCAACUCCGGAUCUGCGGUGGGUACGGGCAGACUAGAGUGAUGUAGGGGAGACUGGAAUUCCUGGUGUAGCGGUGAAAUGCGCAGAUAUCAGGAGGAACACCGGUGGCGAAGGCGACAUCCUGGACCGGUAUUGACGCUGAGGCGCGAAAGCCAGGGGAGCAAACGGG
This 253-nucleotide ribosomal RNA is filed under the name uncultured bacterium. RNAcentral's name for it is "partial 16S ribosomal RNA". It matches the Rfam family "Bacterial small subunit ribosomal RNA", at positions 524 to 776 of the family's 1533-position model. The record is from RNAcentral.